AUUUAACUCAAUUUGCCUGUUUAGCUGACUUCACUACUGUAAACUCUGAAACAGCAAGAUUCCUCCUGUGAUCGUAUCCCCACCCCCAAAUUUAAUUCUCUUUAUCUCAUCUACAGAAAUUUCCUCUGUGUUCUGAUACCACUUAGGAGCUUGUAGGGCUUCCCUUAUCUUUACUGUCUACUGUCCAGAUAUAUAUGGAAUCUAGUUGACUAUCCCCUGUGUCAGUAAAAGAAGCUAACUAAAUGGGAUCUCUGGGUCUGAAGAAUUAUUGAUUCCUAUGGCUUUCAUUUCUGCAAAAGGAGUAAACUUGAUUUUUUUUCUGUAUAUUAUGAAUAAAAUCUCAUUUUUGUAAUUUUUAUGAGAUGCUCUAAUACAUAUUUAAAUUGCUUUUCAUUUAUUCUUGGAUUCUAGAAUAAUAUGUUGGUAAGUACAAAACCAAACCAACAAAGAACCCCAAAGCCACUAGCCCUACACUGAUUACACAUAAAUACUGAACUCUAACGUUGCUCUGUGUUCCAAGGGGCCUGGGCUUCAUUUUUAAGAUUCAAGAAAAAAAAGCACAAAAAGGAGCCCAGCCCUUUCAAAAGAAGAAAUGAGGCUAAAGGUGGGGGAAGGCAGGGUUAAGCUAAAUCUCCAUGCUAGAGAAAGAGCGUGUGUAUUACAAGGAAGUGGUCUGUUCUAGCAGACAGUUGGGCGAUGAGGUUGAGGGAGAUGGAACAGUUGACUCAUGGCUCUGUCUUGCAUUUGGUUUGCUGCUAAGAGCCUGUAAAAUUCUUAACUAUUUCUGAGGGCUUUCUUAGCUCAGUAGUCACUGAGAGAAAUGAGCUGAGCUAAGGAGUAUAAGGGGAAACAGGCUCCCUGAAGGGUGACCCAAAGGGUGUCGCUUUCUGGGCACUGGUUUUAACUGGAUUGGAUGACAUUUGAGGAUUAAGUCAGUCUCCUGGAUAUCUCAUUAUUCAUGCAUUUGUUCCUUUUAGAAAUAGUUAUUGCAUACAUAGGGUUUUCAGAUGAUGUAAACCAAAACACCAGACUCACAAUAAAAAUUUAUAGACAAAAAUAAUCAAAUUCUAGUGAUAUGGAAAACUUAUUGAUGAUCAGUUAAAGAUGGUGGUUUCAACCUCUAUGUUUAUCUCUGUUCUCUCCAAACAUUCCAAUACAAUGAAAAUGGAUGAUUUUUUUUUAAAGCCACAAACGCAUAAGGACAAAGACUUGGAGUGGAGGAAACACCAAGGAAAAAUGGAAAGAUGGAAACCUGACGGAUGAGUGUGAGUUGGCUCAGCAGAUCAGUGAGGGAAAGGAUUCAUGAAUAUUCAAAGUACGUGGACGGUGGAAGGCAGAUGAAACCUGAGAUUUGAACACAGCCUCUUACAUCUGUUUUUAGAAAAGCCAGCCGGCAAUGCAGCUGAUAACAUACCUGCAGGUUCCAUUUGGGUCACAUAUCCAUCUCUGAGUCUGUCACUGGGAGAAUGGGAUGCUUUUUCUGGACUAGGCCUGACUUACGUACCCAUCUGGGACAAUAGGACUUGCUAUGGGGACAACUUCAUCUGUAUGUGGAUGGCGACUGAAGAAUGGAGGCUGGAGUGUGGUGGUGCAAUCAUGGUUCGCUACAAUCCUGACCUCCCGGGCCCAAGCCAUCCUCCUGCCUCAGCCUCUCAAGUAGCUGGGACUACAGAUCAUUUUUCACUGAAGAGAACAGGAAAGGUAAGGGAUGAUGGAAGCUGUACCUGGACUAUAAGGAAAAGACUCCUCGAUUGCACCUGUGAGAGGCCUUGACGCGGAGGACCCAGCUAAGGUACGUGCAGAGCAGUGAAAAAUUUGAAUGGCCUGAGAUACACGCUCCCUGCUGAGGUCGCACAAGAUGGCACGGAUAUUGCUGUUGGCGCAUAGGAUGUGAACAGUGGUGUUGAGAUCACCCUCAUUGGACUGAUGAUGCCAUUGAAACCCAGAGAUGAUUCACGCAGAGCUCGACUACCUCCGUGAGAAAUGACUCUCCUGUAGGGCUCGAUGACCUUCAUGUCAAUGCGCUGCUCUUGUUCUCCAAUCACCACUGUCCUCCACAGUCGGUUGUCCUCCCGUUCCUCUUCGGCCGUAUAUUCUGGAAUAGACUCUGACUCUUGGCCAGAAUCUUUGUUGGCUGUGGGAUCUUCUGGAAACAAAGCACAGAGCAGGGCUGAAGGAGCCAGACCUCCAUAGUGCAGGCAGCUAAACAGCCAGAUGAGACUGUGAGUCCCUUGGGCAAAGAAACUGUGCCUUGAAUCACCUUUAAUAUUCACUUCCACCAACCCGCUCCCUACUUAGCUUACAAACUUACUCAGAACACUCAAAAAAAAUCAGGAAGGUGAGUGAGUAAAUGAAGAAAAACUUGGAUAAUUUCCUGGAAAUGGAGGUAAUCUGUAAGGGAGCCACCACACCACCAUUAUGUUCUGGAAGAAUUUGCAAUUAUACCUUCAAAAUUGUCUAAUUACCAAUGACUUAGAUAGCAAAAUGAAGUUUGGUUGGGAAGCAAUCCUAGCCUUUUUUGCCAACACCAACAGCUACCACCACCUACAGAGCCUUGGGUCACUCUGGCUUCCACUGUGUUCCCACCAGCAUGCGGCAGUUUAUCAAGGAUAGAGAUGAUAAACCACUGGCUUCAGGUCAAGUGUCGUGUCCCUUGUGCAAAUCCACCCAUCUCUUUGGAAUCCCUUCCUGCUUCGUCCUUCCUACAUGGGGUAGAUCCCUGGGAUGCUAAUCAUCUUAGCUCCCUUCCUGGAACUCAAUUUCCCGUCUGGUCUCUACUCCCUCAGAACUCUGGAUUCUGAAGCAGGUUUGUAUUCUGAUGCUCUUGUACACAUCCCCCUUUCCCUCCAGUGAACUUUCCAUCCACCAGAUACUCUUCAUCCUGUUUGGUACCCUCUGACCUGCUCUAGCUUUACCCUGGUCAUCUCUGUGGGGUUAAGAUAGGGUUGUUUUGUUUCAUUUUCCGCAAAUUUUAUUAAAAUCCCCUUACGUAAAACAUUUUUGAUUGCGUGUGGUGGCUUAAGUCUGAAAUCCUAGCACUCGGAAGGCCAAGGCUGGUGGAUCACUUGAGCUCAGGGGUUCGAGACCAGUCCUGGGCAACAUGCAGAAACCCAGUCUCUACAAAAAAUACAAAAAUUAGCUGGAUAUGUUGGCAUGU
RNA transcript from Piliocolobus tephrosceles (Ugandan red Colobus), 3157 nucleotides. It is a transcript of the gene named glucosaminyl (N-acetyl) transferase 1, with no coding region annotated. The transcript is spliced from 10 exons. Lineage: Eukaryota; Metazoa; Chordata; Mammalia; Primates; Cercopithecidae. The record is from RefSeq and is a predicted model, not a curated record.